UAAAAGAAAUUUUCAUAAAGGACGGAAUUAGUACCAGUAUUUUUCUAAAAAUUUGAAAAUUUUGGGGGGUGGUUUAUCCUUGUCAGAGGACCUGUCUUUUAACGAUACACCACGAAAUAUCUUACUUGAGUUAGUGGAGUAUGUAUACCAUCAUUAUUAGGUAAUUUUUAUAGAAUAAAUUACUGAAUAACGAUUAUUAAGGUUAAAUAUUUAAAACCAGGGGGCACCUAAGCCUUAGUUCAAGAGGGGUUACAAAAUAUUUAAUGCUAUACGGAUGAGUAACUGAAAUUGUGACUUGGAAGGAGAUUUUGAUGGUUUUCUAUUUUAAUAAGCUAUUUGAAUAUAGCCUCAAAAGCAGGUACACCCCCCCCGCCACCCACAAAA
RNAcentral lists this ribosomal RNA (384 nucleotides) under Portunus sanguinolentus (three spot swimming crab). RNAcentral's name for it is "partial 12S ribosomal RNA". Lineage: Eukaryota; Metazoa; Arthropoda; Malacostraca; Decapoda; Portunidae. The record is from RNAcentral.